GACUCUGUAGCUCAGUUGGUAGAGCAAAUGACUCUUAAUCAUUGGGUCGUGGGUUCGAGCCCCACCGGGGUCA
Transfer RNA from Porphyromonas sp., 73 nucleotides. It matches the Rfam family "tRNA". Rfam says of the family: Transfer RNA (tRNA) molecules are approximately 80 nucleotides in length. Their secondary structure includes four short double-helical elements and three loops (D, anti-codon, and T loops). Lineage: Bacteria; Pseudomonadati; Bacteroidota; Bacteroidia; Bacteroidales; Porphyromonadaceae. The record is from Rfam.